This 486-nucleotide ribosomal RNA is filed under the name uncultured bacterium. RNAcentral's name for it is "bacterial SSU rRNA". It matches the Rfam family "Bacterial small subunit ribosomal RNA", at positions 38 to 507 of the family's 1533-position model. The record is from RNAcentral.
UGGUCGGGCGAUGCGUACGACACAUGCAAGUCGAACGGCAGCACGGCAGUAGCAAUACUGUGGGUGGCGAGUGGCGGACGGGUGAGGAAUACGUCGGAAUCUGCCCAGUCGUGGGGGAUAACUAGCCGAAAGGUUAGCUAAUACCGCAUACGACCGAGAGGUGAAAGCGGGGGACCGCAAGGCCUCGCGCGAUUGGAUGAGCCGACGUCGGAUUAGCUAGUUGGUGGGGUAAAGGCCCACCAAGGCGACGAUCCGUAGCUGGUCUGAGAGGAUGAUCAGCCACACUGGAACUGAGACACGGUCCAGACUCCUACGGGAGGCAGCAGUGGGGAAUAUUGGACAAUGGGCGCAAGCCUGAUCCAGCAAUGCCGCGUGUGUGAAGAAGGCCUUCGGGUUGUAAAGCACUUUUAUCAGGAACGAAAAGCGUUGGAUUAAUACUCUGACGUGCUGACGGUACCUGAGGAAUAAGCACCGGCUAACUUCGUG